UACUGUGAAACUGCGAAUGGCUCAUUAAAUCAGUUAUAGUUUAUUUGAUGGUACAUUGCUACAUGGAUAACUGUGGUAAUUCUAGAGCUAAUACAUGCAAUCAAGCCCCGACUUCCGGAAGGGGUGUAUUUAUUAGAUAAAAAACCAACGCGGUUCGCCGCUCCCUUGGUGAUUCAUAAUAACUUCUCGAAUCGCAUGGCCUUGCGCCGGCGAUGCUUCAUUCAAAUAUCUGCCCUAUCAACUUUCGAUGGUAGGAUAGUGGCCUACCAUGGUUUCAACGGGUAACGGGGAAUAAGGGUUCGAUUCCGGAGAGGGAGCCUGAGAAACGGCUACCACAUCCAAGGAAGGCAGCAGGCGCGCAAAUUACCCAAUCCCGACACGGGGAGGUAGUGACAAUAAAUAACAAUAUAGGGCUCUUUUGGGUCUUAUAAUUGGAAUGAGUACAAUUUAAAUCCCUUAACGAGGAACAAUUGGAGGGCAAGUCUGGUGCCAGCAGCCGCGGUAAUUCCAGCUCCAAUAGCGUAUAUUAAAGUUGUUGCAGUUAAAAAGCUCGUAGUUGAACUUCAGACCUGGCCGGGCGGUCUGCCUCACGGUAUGUACUGUCUGGCCGGGUCUUACCUCUUGGUGAGCCGGCAUGCCCUUUACUGGGUGUGUCGGGGAACCAGGACCUUUACCUUGAGAAAAUUAGAGUGUUCAAAGCAGGCCUAUGCCCGAAUACAUUAGCAUGGAAUAAUAAAAUAGGACGUGCGGUUCUAUUUUGUUGGUUUCUAGAGUCGCCGUAAUGAUUAAUAGGGAUAGUUGGGGGCAUUAGUAUUCAGUUGCUAGAGGUGAAAUUCUUGGAUUUACUGAAGACUAACUAUUGCGAAAGCAUUUGCCAAGGAUGUUUUCAUUAAUCAAGAACGAAGGUUAGGGGAUCGAAAACGAUCAGAUACCGUUGUAGUCUUAACAGUAAACUAUGCCGACUAGGGAUCGGGCGACCUCACUUUUAUGUGUCGCUCGGCACCUUACGAGAAAUCAAAGU
Molecule: ribosomal RNA, 1021 nt
Filed under: Pallidohirschioporus biformis
Lineage: Eukaryota; Fungi; Basidiomycota; Agaricomycetes; Hymenochaetales; Hirschioporaceae
Also listed under: 2 other names
Description: SSU rRNA
Rfam family: Eukaryotic small subunit ribosomal RNA
Source: RNAcentral